RNAcentral lists this ribosomal RNA (157 nucleotides) under Tricholoma matsutake. RNAcentral's name for it is "5.8S ribosomal RNA". It matches the Rfam family "5.8S ribosomal RNA". From Rfam's summary of the family: 5.8S ribosomal RNA (5.8S rRNA) is a component of the large subunit of the eukaryotic ribosome. It is transcribed by RNA polymerase I as part of the 45S precursor that also contains 18S and 28S rRNA. The record is from RNAcentral. Lineage: Eukaryota; Fungi; Basidiomycota; Agaricomycetes; Agaricales; Tricholomataceae. RNAcentral also lists the same sequence under 17 other names.
CAACUUUCAACAACGGAUCUCUUGGCUCUCGCAUCGAUGAAGAACGCAGCGAAAUGCGAUAAGUAAUGUGAAUUGCAGAAUUCAGUGAAUCAUCGAAUCUUUGAACGCACCUUGCGCUCCUUGGUAUUCCGAGGAGCAUGCCUGUUUGAGUGUCAUG